AGUGAAGCUAUCAGGUCCCGGGCUUUUCUUCGUUGUGCACAUCAAUUUUAAUAGGUCCUGGAUUACAGUACAGUAAGCCAAGGUACAAAUCUCUGUGAUGCUCCAGGGGCCUUCAGAUAACAAGUACUUCUGGGAAGAAAUGAAAAGACCAACUGCCAGUGUUUGUUGAAGAAGGGCUGUUUUUCCUCACAUGAUGCAACAGACGGCCUUGACAGACUGAUGGGUGGGAAGGAAGAAACCUACAUCUCCAUCUACUCGGCUCCUAUUGACUCAUUCUACCAUGCCACAUCAGACUUACAUAUUCAUGUCUUUUCUUCUAAACCCUCAGCCAUCUAGAAUUGAGCUGAUUUGAAUAAACUAUGAAAACAGCAACCAAAUACAGACAAAACACAUUAUACAUUAUUGCACUCUACAGAUUCUGCAUUUUUAAAAAACAAAUUGAAGUUUCUGUAAACCUAGAUCUAUUGGUGCCAUUU
This 476-nucleotide long non-coding RNA is filed under the name Heterocephalus glaber (naked mole-rat). Its description in RNAcentral is "lncRNA (ENSHGLG00000044168.1)". Lineage: Eukaryota; Metazoa; Chordata; Mammalia; Rodentia; Bathyergidae. The record is from RNAcentral.